UACAGAGGCCCCAAGCGUUAGGCGGAAUCACUGGGCUUAAAGCGUGUGUAGGCGGGUUGGUAAGUACUUUGUGAAAUCCCACGGCUUAACUGUGGAACUGCUUAGUAUACUGCCGAUCUUGAGUCAUCUAGGGGCAGCCGGAACAGAUGGUGGAGCGGUGAAAUGCGUAGAUAUUGGGAAGAACACCUGAGGCGAAGGCGGGUUGCUGGGCGUGAUACUGACGCUGAGGCGCGAAAGCCAGGGGAGCAAACGGG
This 254-nucleotide ribosomal RNA is filed under the name uncultured bacterium. Its description in RNAcentral is "partial 16S ribosomal RNA". It matches the Rfam family "Bacterial small subunit ribosomal RNA", at positions 524 to 776 of the family's 1533-position model. The record is from RNAcentral.